AUGGCGGCGACGCACCACCCGGCCUCCCCGACCGGCGCCGGCAAGUCCCCCUCCUCCUCCCCCUCGCCGCCGACGCCUGUGCGCCUGGCGGCGGCGCAGGCGGCGGCGGUGGCGGCGAUCCAGCCCAGCUCGCCGCGCUACUUCUUCUCCUCCCUCGCGGCCUCCUCCUCGCCGCACCGCCGCAUCGCCAUCGCCGUCGACCUGUCCGACGAGUCCGCCUUCGCCGUCAAGUGGGCCGUGCAGAACUACCUGCGCCCGGGCGACGCCGUGGUGCUCCUCCAUGUGCGCCCCACCUCCGUGCUCUACGGCGCCGACUGGGGCUCCAUCCCCGUCUCCGUCGACGACGGCGACGCGGAGGGGGAAGGAGGAGGCGCGGCGCCGGCGUCCGGGGACCCGGAGGAGGACGCGCGCAAGAAGCGGGAGGAGGACUUCGACGCCUUCACCUCCACCAAGUCGCAGGACCUGGCGCAGCCGCUCGUCGCCGCGCAGAUCCCCUUCAAGAUCCACAUCGUCAAGGACCACGACAUGAAGGAGCGCCUCUGCCUCGAGGCCGAGCGCCUCGGCCUCUCCGCCAUGAUCAUGGGCAGCCGCGGCUUCGGCGCCUCCCGCAGGGCAGGCAACGGCAGGCUCGGGAGUGUCAGCGACUACUGCGUGCACCACUGCGUCUGCCCCGUCGUGGUUGUCAGGUACCCUGAUGACGCCGGAGCGGCUGGCGGUGCCGAGUCUGUGGGGGAUGAGCUGCGGACGGUGCCUGAGAACGAGGUGGUGUUCCACGAGGCGCCAGAGGGUCAGAAAGAAAACUGA
This 804-nucleotide ribosomal RNA is filed under the name Triticum aestivum (bread wheat). RNAcentral describes it as "partial small subunit ribosomal RNA". Lineage: Eukaryota; Viridiplantae; Streptophyta; Magnoliopsida; Poales; Poaceae. The record is from RNAcentral.